Molecule: ribosomal RNA, 113 nt
Filed under: Salvator merianae (Argentine black and white tegu)
Lineage: Eukaryota; Metazoa; Chordata; Lepidosauria; Squamata; Teiidae
Source: RNAcentral
CCUGAUUGUUAAACUGCCCAUAGUGAUCUUGUCUGUCCUCAGAAACUCAGCUGGGUAGGACCUGGUUUGUAUUUGGAUAGGAGAAUGUUUGGGAAUACUUGGUGCUACAAGAU